This 73-nucleotide transfer RNA is filed under the name bacterium ADurb.Bin236. Its description in RNAcentral is "tRNA-Lys". It matches the Rfam family "tRNA". Rfam says of the family: Transfer RNA (tRNA) molecules are approximately 80 nucleotides in length. RNAcentral also lists the same sequence under 1 other name. The record is from RNAcentral.
GGGCCGUUAGCUCAGUUGGUAGAGCAGGGGACUCUUAAUCCCAAGGUCAAAGGUUCGAAUCCUUUACGGCCCA